UACGUAGGGGGCAAGCGUUGUCCGGAAUCAUUGGGCGUAAAGCGCGUGUAGGCGGCUUGAUAAGUCUGCUCUGAAAGCCCGGGGCUCAACCCCGGGAGGCGGGUGGAUACUGUCAAGCUCGAGUCCGGAAGAGGAGUGUGGAAUUCCUGGUGUAGCGGUGAAAUGCGUAGAUAUCGGGAGGAACACCAGUGGCGAAGGCGACUACCUGGCCUGUUCUUGACGCUGAGGCGCGAAAGCUAGGGGAGCAAACGGG
RNAcentral lists this ribosomal RNA (253 nucleotides) under uncultured bacterium. Its description in RNAcentral is "partial 16S ribosomal RNA". It matches the Rfam family "Bacterial small subunit ribosomal RNA", at positions 524 to 776 of the family's 1533-position model. The record is from RNAcentral.